CCUACGGGUGGCAGCAGUGGGGAAUAUUGCACAAUGGGGGAAACCCUGAUGCAGCGACGCCGCGUGAGUGAAGAAGUAUUUCGGUAUGUAAAGCUCUAUCAGCAGGGAAGAAAAGGACGGUACCUGAGUAAGAAGACCCGGCUAACGACGUGCCAGCAGCCGCGGUAAUACGUAGGGGGCAAGCGUGAUCCGGAUUUACUGGGUGUAAAGGGAGCGUAGACGGCAGCACAAGUCUGGAGUUAAAUGCCGGGGCUGAACCCCGGAACUGCUUUGGAAACGGUGCAGCUAGAGUGCAGGAGCGGUCAGUGGACUUCCUCUUGUCGCGUUGACAUGCGUCUAUAUUAGUAGGAACCCCAGUGGCGCAGGCGGCUUACUGGACUGUACCUGCCGUUGCGGCUCGAACGCGUGGGGAGCACACCGGAUUAGAUACCCUAGUAGUC
Molecule: ribosomal RNA, 440 nt
Filed under: uncultured bacterium
Lineage: Bacteria
Description: partial 16S ribosomal RNA
Rfam family: Bacterial small subunit ribosomal RNA
Source: RNAcentral